This 270-nucleotide long non-coding RNA is filed under the name Homo sapiens (human). RNAcentral describes it as "HSALNT0226631". Lineage: Eukaryota; Metazoa; Chordata; Mammalia; Primates; Hominidae. The record is from RNAcentral.
CAGCGCAGUACGUUUCUCCAGAGCUGCUCACGGAGAAGUCCGCCUGUAAGAGUUCAGACCUUUGGGCUCUUGGAUGCAUAAUAUACCAGCUUGUGGCAGGACUCCCACCAUUCCGAGCUGGAAACGAGUAUCUUAUAUUUCAGAAGAUCAUUAAGUUGGAAUAUGACUUUCCAGAAAAAUUCUUCCCUAAGGCAAGAGACCUCGUGGAGAAACUUUUGGUUUUAGAUGCCACAAAGCGGUUAGGCUGUGAGGAAAUGGAAGGAUACGGAC